UACGGAGGGUGCAAGCGUUAUCCGGAUUCACUGGGUUUAAAGGGUGCGUAGGCGGACUGAUAAGUCAGUGGUGAAAUCUCUCAGCUUAACUGAGAAACUGCCAUUGAUACUGUUAGUCUAGAGUAUAGAUGACGUUGGCGGAAUAUGACAUGUAGUGGUGAAAUACUUAGAUAUGUCAUAGAACACCGAUUGCGAAGGCAGCUAACGAAACUAUAACUGACGCUGAGGCACGAAAGUGCGGGGAUCAAACAGG
Molecule: ribosomal RNA, 253 nt
Filed under: uncultured bacterium
Lineage: Bacteria
Description: partial 16S ribosomal RNA
Rfam family: Bacterial small subunit ribosomal RNA
Source: RNAcentral